GCUUCAGUGGCGCAAUGGCAGCGCGACGGUCCUGUAAACCGUUGGUUGAGUGUUCAAAUCACUCCUGAAGCUCCA
Molecule: transfer RNA, 75 nt
Filed under: Caudoviricetes sp.
Lineage: Duplodnaviria; Heunggongvirae; Uroviricota; Caudoviricetes
Description: tRNA-Thr
Rfam family: tRNA
About the family: Transfer RNA (tRNA) molecules are approximately 80 nucleotides in length. Their secondary structure includes four short double-helical elements and three loops (D, anti-codon, and T loops).
Source: RNAcentral